Molecule: non-coding RNA, 29 nt
Filed under: Rattus norvegicus (Norway rat)
Lineage: Eukaryota; Metazoa; Chordata; Mammalia; Rodentia; Muridae
Source: RNAcentral
UGGUCACAGCAACUACACUGUUUCAGGAC